This is a long non-coding RNA of Bos taurus (domestic cattle), 334 nucleotides long. NCBI's taxonomy places the organism in Eukaryota, Metazoa, Chordata, Mammalia, Artiodactyla, Bovidae. The record is from Ensembl.
GUUCUGAUGGCUUUUUCACCUUAAGAUUUAUGUUUUCUUUUGAACCCUUUCUUAUCCUCUCCCAUUCUUUACCUCUAUUAUUCUCCAAGAAACGGAAAGGGUUAUGGAUUGGUAUUUGGUUAUUAGUUUGGGGUUUCGACAACACUGCGGGAAUCAGUGCUGUAAGCCUCCGCUGUUUAUUCAAACCCUCCCUGUGUGCUUAAUAACAAAAUAUGGUAGAGAGAAGAAUGAAAGUGUUUCCAUCCGAUGAAAGUGGAAAAGAACAGGCCCCAAGCAGAAUUUGAAGAAGAAAGGGAAAGAAUGCAAGGGUAGGAGCAGGGGAAAGCAUAUUCCC